RNAcentral lists this ribosomal RNA (490 nucleotides) under uncultured bacterium. Its description in RNAcentral is "partial 16S ribosomal RNA". It matches the Rfam family "Bacterial small subunit ribosomal RNA", at positions 30 to 507 of the family's 1533-position model. The record is from RNAcentral.
AUUGAACGCUGGCGGCAGGCCUAACACAUGCAAGUCGAACGGUAACAGAAAGCAGCUUGCUGCUUUGCUGACGAGUGGCGGCCGGGUGAGUAAUGUCUGGGAAACUGCCUGAUGGAGGGGGAUAACUACUGGAAACGGUAGCUAAUACCGCAUAACGUCGCAAGACCAAAGAGGGGGACCUUCGGGCCUCUUGCCACCGAUUGUGCCCAGAUGGGAUUAGCUAGUAGGGGGGGUAAAGGCUCACCUAGGCGACGAUCCCUAGCUGGUCUGAGAGGAUGACCAGCCACACUGGAACUGAGACACGGUCCAGACUCCUACGGGAGGCAGCAGUGGGGAAUAUUGCACAAUGGGCGCAAGCCUGAUGCAGCCAUGCCGCGUGUAUGAAGAAGGCCUUCGGGUUGUAAAGUACUUUCAGCGGGGAGGAAGGGAGUAAAGUUAAUACCUUUGCUCAUUGACGUUACCCGCAGAAGAAGCACCGGCUAACUCCGUG